GACGAACGCUGGCGGCGUGCCUAAUACAUGCAAGUCGAGCGGAGAUUUAAAAGCUUGCUUUUAAAUCUUAGCGGCGGACGGGUGAGUAACACGUGGGCAACCUGCCCUGUAGACUGGGAUAACUUCGGGAAACCGAAGCUAAUACCGGAUAAUCUUUAGCGUCACAUGGCGCAAAAGUAAAAGUUGGGUUUUACCUAACACUACAGGAUGGGCCCGCGGCGCAUUAGCUAGUUGGUAAGGUAAUGGCUUACCAAGGCGACGAUGCGUAGCCGACCUGAGAGGGUGAUCGGCCACACUGGGACUGAGACACGGCCCAGACUCCUACGGGAGGCAGCAGUAGGGAAUCUUCCGCAAUGGACGAAAGUCUGACGGAGCAAACGCCGCGUGAAACGAUGAAGGCCUUCGGGUCGUAAAGUUUCUGU
This 422-nucleotide ribosomal RNA is filed under the name Bacillus sp. oral taxon F16. Its description in RNAcentral is "bacterial SSU rRNA". It matches the Rfam family "Bacterial small subunit ribosomal RNA", at positions 28 to 436 of the family's 1533-position model. The record is from RNAcentral. Lineage: Bacteria; Bacillati; Bacillota; Bacilli; Caryophanales; Bacillaceae.